This 427-nucleotide ribosomal RNA is filed under the name uncultured bacterium. RNAcentral's name for it is "partial 16S ribosomal RNA". It matches the Rfam family "Bacterial small subunit ribosomal RNA", at positions 354 to 796 of the family's 1533-position model. The record is from RNAcentral.
GUGGGGAAUAUUGCACAAUGGGGGAAACCCUGAUGCAGCGACGCCGCGUGAGCGAAGAAGUAUUUCGGUAUGUAAAGCUCUAUCAGCAGGGAAGAAGAAAUGACGGUACCUGACUAAGAAGCACCGGCUAAAUACGUGCCAGCAGCCGCGGUAAUACGUAUGGUGCAAGCGUUAUCCGGAUUUACUGGGUGUAAAGGGAGCGCAGGCGGUACGGCAAGUCUGAUGUAAAAGCCCGUGGCUCAACCCCGGUACUGCAUUGGAAACUGUCUGACUAGAGUGUCGGGGGGGUAAGUGGAAUUCCUAGUGUAGCGGUGAAAUGCGUAGAUAUUAGGAGGAACACCAGUGGCGAAGGCGGCUUACUGGACGAUUACUGACGCUGAGGCUCGAAAGCGUGGGGAGCAAACAGGAUUAGAAACCCCGGUAGUCC